UUGCUAUAAAUCGUUAAAGAGUUCCCUCGACUAACUUUUGUCUCCAUCAUCAGACUGUAAUGGCACUUGUAACUCAUACAGGUGCAAAGUUCUCAUCAAUAAAAACGAAUUAAGUUCAAAAAGCAGGUAAUUGCUAUAAAUUGUUGAAGAGUUCCCUCGACUAUCUUUCUUCUUCAUCAUCAGAUCGACUCCAGACCUUUAUUAAAUAGUAGUGCUUUAUAGUACUUAAUGAAAACAUGAUUAAAUUUACUAGUCACCCUUACGAUUUUUGAAAGUUUCCCUCGAUUUCUCUGGGAUCCCAUCAUCAGAUCCUGGUUUCCUUAUCAUGGUACCAAACUAUGAAUAUCUCCUUUCGAACAAAAAAAGAAUUAUCAAAAUCGGUUCAUAAACGAAGAAGUUAUCUCCGAACAUACAUAAAA
Molecule: unclassified non-coding RNA, 419 nt
Filed under: Melitaea cinxia (Glanville fritillary)
Lineage: Eukaryota; Metazoa; Arthropoda; Insecta; Lepidoptera; Nymphalidae
Description: misc RNA ENSMCXG00005015711.1
Source: RNAcentral